RNAcentral lists this unclassified non-coding RNA (380 nucleotides) under soil metagenome. Its description in RNAcentral is "partial contains 5.8S ribosomal RNA, internal transcribed spacer 2, and large subunit ribosomal RNA". The stretch from base 1 to 120 matches the Rfam family "5.8S ribosomal RNA", at positions 35 to 154 of the family's 154-position model. The record is from RNAcentral.
GAUGAAGAACGCAGCGAAAUGCGAUAAGUAAUGUGAAUUGCAGAAUUCAGUGAAUCAUCGAAUCUUUGAACGCACCUUGCACCCUUUGGCAUUCCGAAGGGUAUGCUCGUUUGAGUGUCAUUGUACUCUCACACUCCCGAUCUUUGGAUUGGGAGCGGUGGACUUGGGUUUGCUGCUUGCCGUGGCUCACCUCAAAUGGAUUAGUGCAACUCUUGGUUGACCAUAGUACGGCGUGAUAAGUGUCUUCGCCGGCGCCUCUGUAAGGAGGGUGGCCGAUCGGGAGCUCUGUGCUUCAAACCGUCUUCGGACAAUCUUUGACAACUUGACCUCAAAUCGAGUAGGACUACCCGCUGAACUUAAGCAUAUCAAUAAGCGGAGGA